UUAUAGCAUAGAAAAAAGAAAGGAAGGCAGCGCCACUAUAAACCACAUAAAUUAAAAGAGCACAGUGGUUUAUGUGGUUUAUAGUGGCGCUGCCUUCCUUUCUUUUUUCUGUACCAUUU
Pelobates cultripes (western spadefoot toad) is the source of this 119-nucleotide non-coding RNA. NCBI's taxonomy places the organism in Eukaryota, Metazoa, Chordata, Amphibia, Anura, Pelobatidae. The record is from the annotation of a GenBank genome assembly.